GACGAACGCUGGCGGCGUGCUUAACACAUGCAAGUCGAACGGAAAGGCCCUGCUUUUGUGGGGUGCUCGAGUGGCGAACGGGUGAGUAACACGUGAGUAACCUGCCCUUGACUUUGGGAUAACUUCAGGAAACUGGGGCUAAUACCGGAUAGGAGCUCCUGCUGCAUGGUGGGGGUUGGAAAGUUUCGGCGGUUGGGGAUGGACUCGCGGCUUAUCAGCUUGUUGGUGGGGUAGUGGCUUACCAAGGCUUUGACGGGUAGCCGGCCUGAGAGGGUGACCGGCCACAUUGGGACUGAGAUACGGCCCAGACUCCUACGGGAGGCAGCAGUGGGGAAUAUUGCACAAUGGGCGGAAGCCUGAUGCAGCAACGCCGCGUGCGGGAUGACGGCCUUCGGGUUGUAAACCGCUUUCGCCUGUGACGAAGCGUGAGUGACGGUAAUGGGUAAAGAAGCACCGGCUAACUACGUGCCAGCAGCCGCGGUGAUACGUAGGGUGCGAGCGUUGUCCGGAUUUAUCGGGCGUAAAGGGCUCGUAGGUGGUUGAUCGCGUCGGAAGUGUAAUCUUGGGGCUUAACCCUGAGCGUGCUUUCGAUACGGGUUGACUUGAGGAAGGUAGGGGAGAAUGGAAUUCCUGGUGGAGCGGUGGAAUGCGCAGAUAUCAGGAGGAACACCAGUGGCGAAGGCGGUUCUCUGGGCCUUUCCUGACGCUGAGGAGCGAAAGCGUGGGGAGCGAACAGGCUUAGAUACCCUGGUAGUCCACGCUGUAAACGGUGGGUACUAGGUGUGGGGUCCAUUCCACGGGUUCCGUGCCGUAGCUAACGCUUUAAGUACCCCGCCUGGGGAGUACGGCCGCAAGGCUAAAACUCAAAGGAAUUGACGGGGCCCCGCACAAGCGGCGGAGCAUGCGGAUUAAUUCGAUGCAACGCGUAGAACCUUACCUGGGUUUGACAUGGAUCGGGAGUGCUCAGAGAUGGGUGUGCCUCUUUUGGGGUCGGUUCACAGGUGGUGCAUGGCUGUCGUUAGCUCGUGUCGUGAGAUGUUGGGUUAAGUCCCGCAACGAGCGCAACCCUUGUUCACUGUUGCCAGCACGUUAUGGUGGGGACUCAGUGGAGACCGCCGGGGUCAACUCGGAGGAAGGUGGGGAUGACGUCAAGUCAUCAUGCCCCUUAUGUCCAGGGCUUCACGCAUGCUACAAUGGCUGGUACAGAGAGUGGCGAGCCUGUGAGGGUGAGCGAAUCUCGGAAAGCCGGUCUCAGUUCGGAUUGGGGUCUGCAACUCGACCUCAUGAAGUCGGAGUCGCUAGUAAUCGCAGAUCAGCAACGCUGCGGUGAAUACGUUCCCGGG
This 1343-nucleotide ribosomal RNA is filed under the name uncultured bacterium. Its description in RNAcentral is "16S ribosomal RNA". It matches the Rfam family "Bacterial small subunit ribosomal RNA", at positions 28 to 1378 of the family's 1533-position model. The record is from RNAcentral.